Ribosomal RNA from Denticeps clupeoides (denticle herring), 123 nucleotides. NCBI's taxonomy places the organism in Eukaryota, Metazoa, Chordata, Actinopteri, Clupeiformes, Denticipitidae. The record is from Ensembl.
GCUUACGGCCAUACCAGCCCAGAGAACGCCCGGUCCUCGUCUGAUCUCGGAAGCUAAGAAGGCUUGGGCCUCGGUUAGUACUUGGAUGGGAGACCUCCUGGGAAUAACCAGGUGCUGUAAGCU